GUCUUUUUGAAAUAAUUUAAAGUCUAAUCUGCCCACUGAUAAAAAAUUAAAGGGCUGCAGUAUAAUGACUGUACAAAGGUAGCAUAAUCAAUAGUUUUUUAAUUGAAAACUUGUAUGAAAGAUUUGAUGAAAUAUGGACUGUCUCUAAUUUAUAUAUUGAAUUUUAUUUUUUAGUAAAAAAGCUAAAAUAAAUUUAAAAGACGAGAAGACCCUAUAGAGUUUUAUAUUUAAUUUUAUUUUGAAAUUAUAUAAAAAUUAAUAUUAAAAAUAAAAUUAAAUAUUAUAUUGGGGUGAUAGAAAAAUUAAAUUAACUUUUUUUAAAAAUUAAACAUAAAUAAAUGAUUAUAUGAUCCAUAAAUAAUGAUUAUAAGAAAAAAUUACCUUAGGGAUAACAGCGUAAUAUUUUUUUUUAGUUCAAAUAAAAAAAAAAGUUUGCGACCUCGAUGUUGGAUUAAGAUAAAAUUUAAAUGCAAAAGUUUAAAAAUUUUGAUCUGUUCGAUCAUUAAAAUCUUACA
This 515-nucleotide ribosomal RNA is filed under the name Melanargia larissa. RNAcentral's name for it is "partial 16S ribosomal RNA". The stretch from base 388 to 515 matches the Rfam family "Bacterial large subunit ribosomal RNA", at positions 2473 to 2600 of the family's 2925-position model. The record is from RNAcentral. Lineage: Eukaryota; Metazoa; Arthropoda; Insecta; Lepidoptera; Nymphalidae.